CCUACGGGAGGCAGCAGUGAGGAAUAUUGGUCAAUGGGCGGGAGCCUGAACCAGCCAAGCCGCGUGAGGGAAGAAGGUACAGCGUAUCGUAAACCUCUUUUGUCAGGGAACAAAGGCGGGGACUAGUCCCCGGAUGAGGGUACCUGAAGAAAAAGCAUCGGCUAACUCCGUGCCAGCAGCCGCGGUAAUACGGAGGAUGCGAGCGUUAUCCGGAUUUAUUGGGUUUAAAGGGUGCGCAGGCGGCCUGUUAAGUCAGCGGUAAAAGCCCGGGGCUCAACCCCGGAGAGCCGUUGAAACUGGGGGGCUGGAGUUGGAGAGAGGUACGCGGAAUGCGCGGUGUAGCGGUGAAAUGCUUAGAUAUCGCGCAGAACCCCGAUUGCGAAGGCAGCUUACUAAGCUACCACUGACGUUGAUGCUCGAAAGUGUGGGUAUCAAACAGGAUUAGAUACCCUUGUAGUC
This 459-nucleotide ribosomal RNA is filed under the name uncultured bacterium. Its description in RNAcentral is "partial 16S ribosomal RNA". It matches the Rfam family "Bacterial small subunit ribosomal RNA", at positions 338 to 795 of the family's 1533-position model. The record is from RNAcentral.